GUGCACCAGUCGCGAAACUUUACAAUGUGCGAAAGCACGAUAAGGGAACUCUGAGUGCCUCCUAAGGAGGCUGUUCUGAUGUCUAAAAGCAACAGAAGUAAGGGCUGGGUAAGACCGGUGCCAGCCGCCGCGGUAACACCGGCAGCCCAAGUGGUAGCCACGUUUAUUGGGUCUAAAGCGUUCGUAGCCGGCCAGGUAAGUUCCUUGGUAAAUUUAGCCGCUUAACGGUUAAGCUUUCAGGGAAUACUGCUUGGCUUGGGACUGGGAGAGGUCAGAGGUACUCCGGGGGUAGGGGUGAAAUCUAUUAAUCCCUGGGGGACCACCGGUAGCGAAGGCGUCUGACCAGACCAGGUCCGACGGUGAGGGACGAAGGCUAGGGGCGCGAACCGGAUUAGAUACCCCCGUAGU
Molecule: ribosomal RNA, 408 nt
Filed under: uncultured microorganism
Description: bacterial SSU rRNA
Rfam family: Archaeal small subunit ribosomal RNA
Source: RNAcentral